Molecule: long non-coding RNA, 1448 nt
Organism: Patella vulgata (common limpet)
Lineage: Eukaryota; Metazoa; Mollusca; Gastropoda; Patellidae
Exons: 3
Source: RefSeq, a predicted model, not a curated record
CAAGACUAAAACUCGUCAUUAAUACACUAUACAUAGACUGUGUUUUUCCAAUGGGUAAUUUUUAUAGAACCCCCUUGAUCUAGUGUUAUACAGUUCUGUUUGUCUUUAGUAAGGUUCUAAGGGAACUCUAGUGGAAGAAAGUUGUCAUAGAAUAAUAAGGAUAAGAAGAAUGGCCACCCCAUUAUCAACCGUUACCAACAAUACCUACAACACAAUGUAUAAUAUACAUGGUGAUUGUCAAGCUGUACAUAUUGGAACAUCAAACACAAUAAAUGAAACUACUAACCAGACCGACAGUGAUGAUUGCACAUCCGAUUUGGAAGAUUUGAAAUUCCAGAUGAAUCGGAUAAAGGAACAAUUUGAACGAAAAGAUGAGGAAAUAGCUGAAUUGAAAAAUAGGGUUGCUGACCUGGAAGUAUUUAAGACGAAAGUAGAACAAUCCGAAGUCAAGACAAACACCAACACUAAUACUAGACGUUAUAUCAGGGAUACGAGUAAUGAUAUUAUUCUAAAGUUAGUUGACAUUUCGCUAGGUAAAGAUAUGGUUACUAUAACUGUCAGUAAGAAAGUCAGUUUUAAUGAUUUAAUGAAGUUGAUAGAAGAGAAGGAGAAUAAGAAGAUUAGUAGGAUUGAUAUAAUAGGAUAUAGAGAUGGUAGCGGGACAUGGAUCUACGGCAGUCUACACAACAAGAACGACUAUAGCCUGGAACAACUUGGUGUUGUAGACCAGGACAAGGUUCUGUGCUAUAGUAAAAUAUAGAGAUUAUAUUGAUAUGAUGUAUUUAUGGUCUCCUUUAUAUUGAACAAUGAGGUGUUUGGGGAGGGGGGGGUAGAUAUUACUUAUAGUAAAAUAUAAUGGUCGAACCAGAACGAGGUUAGGUAUUAUUAUCUUAUUGUCUCUUGAUUAGGUUGUGAGGGUUGAAUAAAGUAAAAUGUUUGAGUGGUGAUGUGGUGUGGGUGCUAAGUUAGUGAAGAGAUUUAUCAACCACAUCAGCACCCUAGUAUUUAACCAAGUAUCUUAUACCCCCCCCCCCCCAACCCCCAUGAUUGAUAUAUUGAAUCUUACUCUAAGUAAUAUCUAACCUGUCCCAACUGUCCACCUGUCCCACCUGUUAGUAUUUAACCAAGUAUCUUACCCCCCCCCCCAACCCCCAUGAUUGAUAUAUUGAAUCUUACUCUAAGUAAUAUCUUACCUGUCCCACCUGUCUCACCUGUUCCACCUGAUUGAUAUAUUGAAUCUUACUCUAAGUAAUAUCUAACAUCCUAAUAUAAAACUAGCUUACUACUGUAAAUAAAGCUGUAAUUCAAUAGUCACGAUUAUCAGGUGAUAUGUAGUCGUGAUCAUGUGAUAACUAACUGACAUGUAUAUAAUAUAAUAUUAUAUUAGUGAAACAAUGUUUUAUAUUUUUUGUUCUAAUUUUGUUUCAAUAAAAUAUUUUAUAACUAAA